Molecule: small nucleolar RNA, 65 nt
Organism: Bodo saltans
Lineage: Eukaryota; Euglenozoa; Kinetoplastea; Eubodonida; Bodonidae
Source: Rfam
CCCGCAAGUAGCACCGUUGCUAAGCUCUCACCCAUAACUCAAACAGCGGACUUGCUUGCGGAAGA